AUGAUUUUGCACCACUCGCAAAGAAAGCAUUGUACCCGGCAGUUGUACUCCCUCCGCAAACCUAGUCCUUCUGUCCACACCCCCAGCCCCCGUGCUCCUGCUGCUCCUGUGGCUGCCCUGGUUUUGCUCAUGGAGAGCAAAGCCUUGGAGCACCAGAUGAGGAGUAGACGGCUCUUGCCUCUGCUCCUCUGGCCCUCGGCUGCCACUCCAGCCGUGAGGAGGGAUGCCCCUGCAGUCCCAGGCACUGCCACCUGCUGCUUUGAUUUUUCAGGGAUAGUGGACACCAUGUCUCCAUCUCUGCCUUUGAUCAGAAAGCUCAGAAGAGGAGUUCCCAUGUGGCUCAGCGGUCACCGGGGCUCCGUUUAUUAAACUGUUGCUCCAGGGCAC
Molecule: long non-coding RNA, 387 nt
Filed under: Sus scrofa (pig)
Lineage: Eukaryota; Metazoa; Chordata; Mammalia; Artiodactyla; Suidae
Description: lncRNA (ENSSSCG00025000536.1)
Source: RNAcentral